This 1662-nucleotide long non-coding RNA is filed under the name Pongo abelii (Sumatran orangutan). RNAcentral describes it as "lincRNA". The record is from RNAcentral. Lineage: Eukaryota; Metazoa; Chordata; Mammalia; Primates; Hominidae.
AGGGCUGUUGUUUUUGCCUGUCAUGGAGUUCCGUUCAUUUUGAACAUGUCACCAGGGACUUUGGAAUGUGUAUCCAUAACUCCCUGAUUUUCAACCACAUUCCAGCCUGCCUGACUCAUGAAGCGUGGAGCGACCCAGGAACAUCCCAGCUCCUCAUGUCCCACAUUCUUCAGGCUUUCUCUUAGUUUUGGCAUGUGCAUGUAAAUGUCAACAGCUGCUUCUGCUGACUCCUCGUCUCAAUUAAUCGUGGCUCUGUCUUCCGUUUGCUGAAGCCAAAGACCUCCCCGCUCUCUCAGAGCCCACGUCUGGCACAUCAGCGAAUCUCGUUGGCACUGCCAUCAAACACAUCCAUCUAGGAUCUCCCCGCACCUCGCGCCACCCACCGCGCUAGUCCGUGGAUCCCUGUUUCUCUCGUGGAUGUAGUAAUGGUCACAUAGCUGGACUUCUGCCCUGGCACUUCUUCAGCCCCUUGUUAGAGGAAUCCUGCUAAAUGUUGGAUGAUUUACCCCCCACCUCCCACAACCCCUGUCACACACACAUAGGAGCUCCACUGGCUCCUCAUAACUCUAGGGUGCCAGCCUGUCUCUGCCAUGACGAAAGCCCCCCGUCAUCUGUCUCCUGCCCCUCCCUCGCUGACUCUAUCUGCCACCCUUUCCCUAUUGUCCACGCUGCCCCAGCCCCACAGGCCUCCUCCUGUUCCUCAGACUCCCCAGGGAUGCUCCUGCCUCAGGGCCUUUGCCCUGGCUAUUCCCUCCCGCUACAACACUCUUCCUGAAUCUGCAUGAUUCGAUGCCCACUCCCCCAUUCUCAGCCUGUCCCCAUAUCUCAGUGAGCCCUGCCUGGGCCACUCUGGAAAAUCUCAGCAUCCCAGGCUGGGCGUGGUGGCUCAUGCCUGUAAUCCCAGCACUUUGGGAGGCCAAGGCAGGCAGAUUGCUUGAGCUCAGGAGUUUGAGACCAGCCUGGCCAACGUGGCGAAACCCCGUCUCUCCUAAAAAUACAAAAGUUAGCCGGGUGUGGUGGUGUGCACCUGUAAUCACAGCUACUUGGGAGGCUGAGGCAGAAGAAUCGCUUGAACCUGGGAGGCAGAGGUUGCAGUGAGCCGAGAUCGUGCCACUGCACUCCAGCCUGGGCGACAGAGCGAGACACCAUCUAACACACACAAAAAAAGCUCAGUAUCAUCCUCCCAGCACUUCUUGUCCUCCUUGCUUCCCUUAUUUAUUUUUUUUUUUCACAUUCACACAUAUGACGAUCCAGCAUUCUACAUAUUUUAUUUAUCUUAUUUAUUUUCAGUCUUCUCCACUCAAAUGUAUGAUAUUUAAGGCAGGGGUUUUAAAAUGUCUUGUUCUCGGCCAGGCAUGGUGGCUCACACGUGUAAUCCUAGCACUUUGGGAGGCUGAGGCAGGUGGAUCACCUGAGGUCAGGAGUUCAAGACUAGCCUGGUCAACAUGGCGAAACCCGUCUCUACUAAAAAUACGAAAUUAGCCAGGCGUGGUGGCGGGCGCCAGUAAUCCCAGCUACUCAGGAGGCUGAAGCAGGAGAAUCGCUUGAACCUCAGAGGCAGAGCUUGCAGUGAGCCGAGAUCACACCACUACACUCCAGCCUGGAUGACAGAGUGAGACUCCGUCUCAAAAAAAAAAAUAAAUAAAUAAAUAAAAAUAAAAU